Non-coding RNA from Pelobates cultripes (western spadefoot toad), 377 nucleotides. Lineage: Eukaryota; Metazoa; Chordata; Amphibia; Anura; Pelobatidae. The record is from the annotation of a GenBank genome assembly.
ACUAUGUGUUGGUGCAAUUCUAAUAUUUGUGAAUUAACCAGUGAUUUAGUCGUUUAAACUGCUGCUUAUGCAUAAAUAUUUACAGAUCCUGUUCUCCAAGCAUCAGAAUUGUUCAAAGUUAUGCCAUUUAACCAUGUUAUUUUGUUUGAGCAAGUUGAUACCAGAUGCAGAAUUAUUUUUUUAUAUUAUUCAUAAAGCAUUGAUUAUAUUUGUGGCACAGUCUAUAUCAUACACACCAUAUAUUUGCAAGCUGUUAAGACCUUUACGAUUAAGUAUUCUUUUUAAAUAACAUUUCUGUAUAGAACCCAAGCGACCUCUAGUGGCUAAUGUGCAGAAAGCAUUACUAUCUGUGCUUAUUUGAUUUUGUGAAGGAAUGU